GUUGUAUGGUUAAGUGACUAAGCGUACACGGUGGAUGCCUUGGCAGUCAGAGGCGAUGAAAGACGUAGUAACUUGCGAUAAGCCCAGAUUAGGUAGUAACAACCAUUUGAGUCUGGGAUUUCUGAAUGGGGAAACCCACGUGCAUAAGCACGUAUCCUUACCUGAAUACAUAGGGUAAGGAGGCGAACCGGGGGAACUGAAACAUCUAAGUACCCCGAGGAAAAGAAAUCAACCGAGAUUCCGAAAGUAGCGGCGAGCGAAAUUGGACUAGCCCUUAAGCUUUACACGCGUUAGACGAACGGUCUGGAAAGUCCGACGAUACAGGGUGAUAGUCCCGUAGUUGACGACGUGUGUUCAGUGAAAUCGAGUAGGGCGGGACACGUGAUAUCCUGUCUGAAUAUGGGGGGACCAUCCUCCAAGGCUAAAUACUACUGACUGACCGAUAGUGAACCAGUACCGUGAGGGAAAGGCGAAAAGAACCCCUGUGAGGGGAGUGAAAUAGAACCUGAAACCGUGUACGUACAAGCAGUAGGAGCAGGCUUUGUCCUGUGACUGCGUACCUUUUGUAUAAUGGGUCAGCGACUUAUAUUCAGUGGCAAGGUUAACCAUCUAGGGGAGCCGUAGGGAAACCGAGUCUUAACUGGGCGUUCAGUCUCUGGAUAUAGACCCGAAACCAGGUGAUCUAGCCAUGGGCAGGUUGAAGGUUGAGUAACAUCAACUGGAGGACCGAACCGACUAAUGUUGAAAAAUUAGCGGAUGACUUGUGGCUAGGGGUGAAAGGCCAAUCAAACCUGGAGAUAGCUGGUUCUCCCCGAAAGCUAUUUAGGUAGCGCCUCGGACGAAUACUACUGGGGGUAGAGCACUGUUAAGGCUAGGGGGUCAUCCCGACUUACCAACCCUUUGCAAACUCCGAAUACCAGUAAGUACUAUCCGGGAGACACACGGCGGGUGCUAACGUCCGUCGUGGAGAGGGAAACAACCCAGACCGCCAGCUAAGGUCCCAAAUUACUACUAAGUGGGAAACGAUGUGGGAAGGCUCAGACAGCCAGGAUGUUGGCUUAGAAGCAGCCAUCAUUUAAAGAAAGCGUAAUAGCUCACUGGUCGAGUCGGCCUGCGCGGAAGAUGUAACGGGGCUAAGUAGUAAACCGAAGCUGCGGCAAUGUGCUUUUGCACAUUGGGUAGGGGAGCGUUCUGUAAGCGGUUGAAGGUGUGUGGUAACGCAUGCUGGACGUAUCAGAAGUGCGAAUGCUGACAUGAGUAACGAUAAAGGGGGUGAAAAACCUCCUCGCCGGAAGACCAAGGGUUCCUGUCCAACGUUAAUCGGGGCAGGGUAAGUCGACCCCUAAGGCGAGGCCGAAAGGCGUAGUCGAUGGGAAACGGGUUAAUAUUCCCGUACUUCUUACAAUUGCGAUGGGGGGACGGAGAAGGCUAGGUGGGCCUGGCGACGGUUGUCCAGGUUCAAGUGCGUAGGCUUAAGAGUUAGGUAAAUCCGGCUCUUUUUAAG
This 1504-nucleotide ribosomal RNA is filed under the name Vibrio parahaemolyticus. RNAcentral describes it as "partial 23S ribosomal RNA". It matches the Rfam family "Bacterial large subunit ribosomal RNA", at positions 1 to 1555 of the family's 2925-position model. The record is from RNAcentral. Lineage: Bacteria; Pseudomonadati; Pseudomonadota; Gammaproteobacteria; Vibrionales; Vibrionaceae.